RNAcentral lists this RNase MRP RNA (243 nucleotides) under Brassica oleracea var. oleracea. RNAcentral's name for it is "SRP RNA RNase_MRP". It matches the Rfam family "RNase MRP". From Rfam's summary of the family: RNase MRP is an enzymatically active ribonucleoprotein with two distinct roles in eukaryotes. In mitochondria it plays a direct role in the initiation of mitochondrial DNA replication. In the nucleus it is involved in precursor rRNA processing, where it cleaves the internal transcribed spacer 1 between 18S and 5.8S rRNAs. The record is from Rfam by way of RNAcentral. Lineage: Eukaryota; Viridiplantae; Streptophyta; Magnoliopsida; Brassicales; Brassicaceae.
CAGUCAGUGGAAGAAGUGAUUGGGCCAUGGGCUUGUCAAAGCUCGGGCCCUGGAAAGUCGCCGGGCCACCAUUCCCGCAGAGAUGCGGCCUCGGUAACGAGCGAGUCUUGUGCUUGGAGAAGACAUAAUCGGGCUGAGACACGUGUAUGGAGCCUGUCUCUCAAGCCAAGAUAUUAUGGCCAAUUUAACAGUAAUUCACUUCCCUAACGGGACACAACAGAACGGGGCUUACUUCCACUGACA